RNAcentral lists this ribosomal RNA (549 nucleotides) under Phymatolithon calcareum. RNAcentral's name for it is "SSU rRNA". It matches the Rfam family "Eukaryotic small subunit ribosomal RNA", at positions 155 to 726 of the family's 1831-position model. The record is from RNAcentral. Lineage: Eukaryota; Rhodophyta; Florideophyceae; Hapalidiales; Hapalidiaceae.
AUUCUAGAGCUAAUACGUGCCAUAAACGCCGGGCAACCGGUGGUGCUAAUUAGAUAACAACACCAAUAUAUGGUGAUUCAUAAUUUUCUUUCUGAUCGCUGAUAACUCGGCGACGCAUCGUUCAAAUUUCUGACCUAUCAACUUUAGAUGGUAAGGUAGUGUCUUACCAUGGUGGCAACGGGUAACGGACCGUGGGUGCGGGACUCCGGAGAGGGAGCCUGAGAAACGGCUACCACAUCCAAGGAAGGCAGCAGGCGCGCAAAUUACCCAAUCCAGACUCUGGGAGGUAGUGACAAGAAAUAUCAAUAGGGGAUCUUAUGGGUCUUCUAAUUGGAAUGAGAACAAGCUAAACAGCUUAUCGAGAAUCCAGCAGAGGGCAAGUCUGGUGCCAGCAGCCGCGGUAAUUCCAGCUCUGUAAGCGUAUACCAAAGUUGUUGCAGUUAAAACGCUCGUAGUCGGAUUUUGGUAGUUCCGGAUGUGUGCGCGUCGUGCGCGCACUUCGCAGGGGCUGCUUUUGUGGGUAUGCGUGGCAUGACGCGACUUUAUUGU